This 45-nucleotide non-coding RNA is filed under the name Schistosoma mansoni. Lineage: Eukaryota; Metazoa; Platyhelminthes; Trematoda; Strigeidida; Schistosomatidae. The record is from RNAcentral.
AUCCAGUCGACGAGUUGCGAAUAGGACGAAACGCGCGUCCUAGAU